GAAUGACUUUGAACUUAACAUGUGCUGCCUAUUUUAGUCUCAGCUGCAAUUGCAAAAAUUACAACAUUUGGAUGUAAACAGCCUGAAUAUAUGUACUGCUGUAACUGCAAUGAAACUGCAAUAUCCAGAAUGUACAUGAUAAAGUACAUUAUUCUCAUAUGAUUCAUUUUCUAGUUGGGGUUUCAUCUGGAGAGUCUCUUAUAUUGAGACAUGGAAUAUGCAAAGAUUUGAAUUAUUAAAUUUGAAGAAGUGUCAUUUAAGUCUAGCUAUAGAAUUCCAAAAAAUAUAUUUUUAAAAGGAUAAGAUUUUUUAACACAGAUAAGAUAAAAUACCUACACAGGCUGUAAUGAAUACAUACACAUAAAUUCUAUUCAUGUUCUUGAUUGUGAGAAACUGAGUAAAUUAAUGUAAUGCCAGGCACUGGAUUUUUCCCUGCUUUCCCUAUUUCAUGGUUUUCAAUAAUUACAAUGCUUUGAGAAUUUUUGAACUACUAACUUGAACUUGAACUAACUACUAGUUUUCUAAAACUUAGUGAGCAACAAGUGACAUUUAAAAUACGAUUUAUUACAUUCUUGCAUUAUACAUGCAUUAAUCUUACAGAUGGUGUAUGGGAAUUGCUAAGCCAUGGCCUGAACCAAUCAUUGAGCACCUCGUGAAGGAACACAGCCAGCCCUGGGAGCAUAGGUGAAAGGAAUUCACCUGUGUGACUGGAAGAGGUAGAACCAGGUUCCAACUCUCCCCAAGCCUCAUUUAAGGGCUGGCUGCCACAAGGAAAGGGUCUCUACCUGUAGAUCCCUCUUUGUGAAGUAUUUGAUAAGCCCUGAUCCUUGGGAUGGGUGGAAGGCUUUCAUGGCUUCACCCGUGCAGCUGCCACCAAAGAUGAGCACCAGCUCACUCCUGUAGACACAGCCAUUUCUGCAGACCUGCAAGUUUAGACAUUUGUGGACUAGAAGGAUUGAAACAGAAUCAUAGAAUUGCUCAGGUUGGAAAAGGCCUUGAAGAUCAUCAAGAUUCUUAGAGGAAGAUUUGGUUUGUAUCCUACAGUCGCAUUACACCAAAUAAUGAACCUUUUGCUCAAACAAAGUGAUUAACACCUACCAUCUACUGACACAUCUCCUUCCCAUAACAGUUUGCCUUCUGGAGGAGGUACUACUGGGGUAAAGCCAUGCUACAGAAAUUGGGAGUUUUGUCGUCUCCUUUUGGUAAGCUCUAUUUGUUCUAAGUAUUACAGUUGCCUUUUAAUAUUUUAAUUAUGUAGGCUUUUGCUUUUUACUGAGAAAUCACUGUAUGUUUCCAAAAAAGAAAUAAUAAAAAAGUGUUUUUCUAGGAAAAAAAGAAGAAAAAAAAUCAAUGUCCAAAGCAAGAACUGCUUGAUAUCUGCUUUCUAUGUUAUUAGGUUUAGUGCAAGUUGUAUCUAAAAGUUAUAGGCCUGCAGCAUCUGGCCACUACCUCCAAAAUACUCUUGACUACAGUGAAUUAUAGUGUAGCAAAGAAAUGUUAUCUCUUAUUGAGUGGUAUCUUCCAAAUGCCCCAAUACACCAAUAAUUAUCCAUUAACCAAUAAUUAUCCAUUACUAACCAUGAGAACGCAUACUUAACGCCUUCUUAAAUCUACUGCCUAAUUCAACUAUUGUCUUUUUGUGACCCUAGAACUUAGCCCUCAAGUGAAGUGAUUAAUAGAUAAUUCAUAAAUGUGUCUAUGACAACAAUAAGUGUUAUUUUUUUCAUAUCUAGGCUAUGCUAUGCAGUAACAUCAGAACAAAUGGUCAAGUUCCAAUAAUUUUGUUAACAGACAACUGAAAGCAAACACACUCAUAAACAUUAACAUUUUAAUGACUUCAUUCUGAAAAUGAUUUCUGAACACCAUGAUGACAACUAGAUAGAGCACAUGAGAGAUUCCUUCAGCAUCAAUGUUAUUAGCCUCAAAUAUUGCUGCGGUACAUCAACAACUGUUCAUCAUCAAAUCUGUAAUUAAAAAGUAGGAAAACAUCACAUUCACCUAGGAAAACCUGAACUGCUUUGAAACUGGAAAUCUUGUUUCGAAUCAGAGUUAAACAGGAAACCCAUCCCACCCAAGAACUUGGCUUGUCUGUUUUUCUGUUUGUUUGCUUCAUUAAUCAAUCCAUAGUUCUCCCGUGGUGUAGAAAGAGAUUAAUUUGAGCUAAAAGAGUGCCUGCAUAUUUGCAUAAUAUUAACCCUGAAAAAAACACUAUGGACUACCAGGUAUAAGAUGAAACAAAAAACUAAUGCAUGUAUUUCUUGGCAGUUUUUCAGCAUUCUUGUGUUUAAGACACUGACCUACUUUCCAGAUUUUUUUCAGCUCUAUCUAGUAAUCCUUAAACUCAAACUGAAAGACACUUAUGGUUCAAAAUGAAAAAUUUACUUCAGUAGAAUGGAUUCUCAAAUACCAGGCAAGACAACAACACGUUUCUCAUAGUUAAUUUUCACACUGUUGUAGCUUACUUCAGUUUCUACAGUCACAGCAGCAUUCAGCAGUAGACUCAUUACUAGGAAAAUUCUCUCAGAUCUCUCACUUGUUUUUAUCUGCGAUAUCUUUUAUGCUCUUGAUUAGUAGGAACCUCAGAACUUUAAAAAACAAAAGUUCAUUUAGGGAUUUCUACUUAAAAAGAGAACUUGGUAAACAUAAGAUGAGGACCACACAGCUGUAUAAGAAAAGUGAAGAGGGAAAAUUAAUUAUGCCAAGUUUCACUAAUGAACUGAUCUAUCUAAAUGGGAUCUACCACUCAAACUCUUUUUUUCCCCAUUUUUAACAUAUCUAUUUGAACACAGUACCUUUUUUUUUGUCUGUGUUAUGUUAUAUUAUGGCAAGAUUUGUUUUAUUACAUAGAAAAAAAAAUGUCUCCUGGGAUACAGGUGGUAAAAUUCAGGUGUGUAUGGGGUUGUGGAGAAACUGCCACAGUCAUU
This is a long non-coding RNA of Meleagris gallopavo (turkey), 2924 nucleotides long. RefSeq lists it as uncharacterized. NCBI's taxonomy places the organism in Eukaryota, Metazoa, Chordata, Aves, Galliformes, Phasianidae. The record is from RefSeq and is a predicted model, not a curated record.